AUUGAACGCUGGCGGCAGGCUUAACACAUGCAAGUCGAGCGGAGAUGAGGUGCUUGCACCUUAUCUUAGCGGCGGACGGGUGAGUAAUGCUUAGGAAUCUGCCUAUUAGUGGGGGACAACAUUCCGAAAGGAAUGCUAAUACCGCAUACGCCCUACGGGGGAAAGCAGGGGAUCUUCGGACCUUGCGCUAAUAGAUGAGCCUAAGUCGGAUUAGCUAGUUGGUGGGGUAAAGGCCUACCAAGGCGACGAUCUGUAGCGGGUCUGAGAGGAUGAUCCGCCACACUGGGACUGAGACACGGCCCAGACUCCUACGGGAGGCAGCAGUGGGGAAUAUUGGACAAUGGGCGGAAGCCUGAUCCAGCCAUGCCGCGUGUGUGAAGAAGGCCUUUUGGUUGUAAAGCACUUUAAGCGAGGAGGAGGCUACUUAGAUUAAUACUCUAGGAUAGUGGACGUUACUCGCAGAAUAAGCACCGGCUAACUCUGUGCCAGCAGCCGCCGUAA
This 501-nucleotide ribosomal RNA is filed under the name uncultured bacterium. RNAcentral describes it as "partial 16S ribosomal RNA". It matches the Rfam family "Bacterial small subunit ribosomal RNA", at positions 30 to 523 of the family's 1533-position model. The record is from RNAcentral.